This 116-nucleotide ribosomal RNA is filed under the name uncultured bacterium. RNAcentral describes it as "partial 16S ribosomal RNA". It matches the Rfam family "Bacterial small subunit ribosomal RNA", at positions 400 to 508 of the family's 1533-position model. The record is from RNAcentral.
CGUGGGUGAAGAAGGCCUUCGGGUUGUAAAGCCCUUUUGUACGGGAAGAAAAGCCGACGGUUAAUAACCGGUGGUCAUGACGGUACCGUAAGAAUAAGCACCGGCUAACUUCGUGC